AGCGAACGCUGGCGGCAGGCUUAACACAUGCCAGUCGAGCGGGCACUUUCGGGUUCCAGCGGCGGACGGGUGAGUAACGCGUGGGAACGUGCCCUCUGGUUCGGAAUAACUCAGGGAAACUUGAGCUAAUACCGGAUACGCCCGUUUGGGUAAAGGCUUGCUGCCGGAGGAUCGGCCCGCGUCUGAUUAGCUAGUUGGUGAUGUAACGGCUCACCAAGGCGACGAUCAGUAGCUGGUCUGAGAGGAUGAUCAGCCACACUGGGAGUGAGACACGGCCCAGACUCCUACGGGAGGCAGCAGUGGGGAAUAUUGGGAAAUGGGCGCAAGCCUGAUCCAGCCAUGCCGCGUGAGUGAUGAAGGCCUUAGGGUUGUAAAGCUCUUUUAUCCGGGACGAUAAUGACGGUACCGGAGGAAUAAGCCCCGGCUAACUUCGUG
This 435-nucleotide ribosomal RNA is filed under the name uncultured bacterium. Its description in RNAcentral is "partial 16S ribosomal RNA". It matches the Rfam family "Bacterial small subunit ribosomal RNA", at positions 29 to 507 of the family's 1533-position model. The record is from RNAcentral.